RNAcentral lists this ribosomal RNA (808 nucleotides) under uncultured bacterium. Its description in RNAcentral is "bacterial SSU rRNA". It matches the Rfam family "Bacterial small subunit ribosomal RNA", at positions 638 to 1446 of the family's 1533-position model. The record is from RNAcentral.
UGACUNGAGUGCAGAAGGGGAGAGUGGAAUUCCAUGUGUAGCGGUGAAAUGCGUAGAUAUAUGGAGGANCACCAGUGGCGAAAGCGGCUCUCUGGUCUGUCACUGACGCUGAGGCUNGAAAGCGUGGGUAGCGAACAGGAUUAGAUACCCUGGUAGUNCACGCCGUAAACGAUGAGUGCUAGGUGUUAGGCCCUUUCCGGGGCUUAGUGCCGGAGCUAACGCAAUAAGCACUCCGCCUGGGGAGUACGACCGCAAGGUUGAAACUCAAAGGAAUUGACGGGGGCCCGCACAAGCGGUGGAGCAUGUGGUUUAAUUCGAAGCAACGCGAAGAACCUUACCAGGUCUUGACAUCCCGAUGCUAUUCUUAGAGAUAGGAAGUUACUUCGGUACAUCGGAGACAGGUGGUGCAUGGUUGUCGUCAGCUCGUGUCGUGAGAUGUUGGGUUAAGUCCCGCAACGAGCGCAACCCUUAUUGUUAGUUGCCAUCAUUAAGUUGGGCACUCUAGCGAGACUGCCGGUAAUAAACCGGAGGAAGGUGGGGAUGACGUCAAAUCAUCAUGCCCCUUAUGACCUGGGCUACACACGUGCUACAAUGGUCGGUACAACGAGUUGCAAGCCGGUGACGGCAAGCUAAUCUCUGAAAGCCGAUCUCAGUUCGGAUUGGAGGCUGCAACUCGCCUCCAUGAAGUCGGAAUCGCUAGUAAUCGCGGAUCAGCACGCCGCGGUGAAUACGUUCCCGGGCCUUGUACACACCGCCCGUCACACCACGAGAGUUUGUAACACCCGAAGUCGGUGAGGUAACCUUUUAG